Bos indicus x Bos taurus (hybrid cattle) is the source of this 2165-nucleotide long non-coding RNA. NCBI's taxonomy places the organism in Eukaryota, Metazoa, Chordata, Mammalia, Artiodactyla, Bovidae. The record is from Ensembl.
GGAGGGUAGGCUGGAGCAGGGGAAGUGGGGGCAAGGGGCAAGGGAGGGGGACACACAUCUGGUGGAUGCAAGAAAAAGGGGCUUGCUGGGGUGGGGACGGGAGGUGGGCACCCUCAAUUCCCUGAGUCCUCUAGCAGCACCGCGCUGGAGGGUGGGCUGGGACUGGAGUGGAGUUUGAAUUCAUUGUUAUUUUGACCUUGUGGUCAAGGCUGUUCUGUUUGUUAAACGAAUGUGAACAAUCCCCCUGGCUGGGCUCCUGAACUUGGACUCAGGCAGGGAGGCCGCCCACACAUGCACACCCACCAGGCCUGGGGCUGGGCCUGGCUAUGUCCUUGGCCCCUCCAGCUCUCCUAGCAUCCAGGUGGGGAGCUGGUGGUAGAAACGGCCCCCAGGAGCGAUUCUGGCCAGUGACCUUGGGUGCCCUGGCUGUGGACUCGAGUUCUGCCUGUUCCCUGAUGCACUCAUGUUCUCAGGGAGCCCAGCCUCCCUUCCCCACUCAAGGCCCUGACCUGCUGGAACCUCUGCUGAGUGGGCCUUCACCUCAACUAGGAGCUGAGCACUGGGGGAGAGAGUUCAGGAGUUCAAAGCCCCAGGGAUCUGGUGCCUGUGGACAGGGGAAUGUUGUUCUGGAAGGCGAGAGAAGCCCAGCCUUUGUUCUCAUCCCACAGAAACAGUCCUGGAUUCACUGCAAGAUUGGCAUCCGCCUAUGCCAAUUUGUAAAUACUUUUGGAAAUGCCCUUUGCCCAGGAGGCACUUGGCGAAACCUCUUGCUUACUGUGUGGCCAGCCAGCCGUAGGAGAGGUUGAAGGUGAGCAGAGCUGGGAAGGCAGUGAGUGACCCCGGGGAGAGGUGACGAGGAGGCCCCAGCAGGAAGGGCGGUUCGAGGUCUUUCCUGGACGGUGCACGAGACGAACCCGUUCCCCACCUGCUCGUCCCACUCUAGCUCGGGCCUUGCCAAGCUUCUGGGUGAGGCCGUGUGCUCUGGCACAACCCGUGUUUCCCUUUCCAAACCUUAAGCCCGGUGCUGUUCCCACAGCCCAGCUCGGCAGGCUUGUGCUGCGGAACCAGAGGAGGCAGCCUGAUUGGCCGGGCAGGCACGGUGCUGCGGGGCCCCUGGCCUGACCACCCAACAGGUCAGAGCCGUUAAAGCAGGGCAGGACCCGAGAGGGGGGACUGAGAUGCACGAUCGCUCACCCAUCCCCGCAAGGCUGAGGAUCUGCACAAACCUGCUGUCGGUGACGUUUUUCUUGAGAACAUUGGAGAAAUCUGAAUGUUGAAUGAGUGUUACAAAAGGUGAAACUUGACUGACAUGGAAAGCUGGAUUGUUAACUGAAAAAAGUUUAAAAAUGCAUAUAUGGUGUGAUCUCAUUUUGGACAAAAUAAUAAUGAAUAUGUACCAUAGGUGUUAAUAGUGAUAUUGAUUGGGUGCUAAAAAUCUUUUCCCCUUAUUUUUUCUUAUUUUUGUGGCUCUAUGUUUUCUCACACUUAAGUUUUUUUGGUCAUUGUCUUCAACUGCUACAAUGAACAUAUACCUCUUUUAUUAUGUUAAAAGGUUGUUUUUAACUAAAAAACAUUUGUUAAAAAUUGCUCCUCUGCAAGAGAACAGCCUGAGUCGUGGUUGGAGCCAUGGUCCUAUGGGACAGGAAGAACUAACCUCUCUGCUCCUUUGCUCCCAGCCACAGCUUAGAACUCAAACUCCACCUGAGUUUGACCCGUGCUGAGUUGCUUCAGUUGUGUUCAACUCUUUGUGACCCUAUGCACUGUAGCCCACCAGGUUCCGCUGUCCAUGGGAUUUCCCAGGCAAGAAUACUGCGGUAGGUUGCCAUUUCCUCCUCCAGGGGAUGUUCCUGAUCCAGGAAUUGAACCUACAUCCCUUAUGUCUCCUGCAUUGGCAGGCAGUUUCUUUACCACUAGCGCAAUCUGGGAAGCCCUGAGUUUGGCACAAGGUCCAGAUAGAGCUAAUUAUUGCAGAGCAAAAAACAGACUUGACUCUAAGAUGAUGAGUGAUUAGUGAGUGAUUAAAAAAAAAAAGAUAACUCAGCCUGGCCUCCUCAACCAGCCCAGGCCAGGCUUGCCCCAAACUUCUCUUUGUAUGAAAAUCCAACUCCAUGUUAAUAGUGGGUUGGGGAAAUAAAAAAGCAGAAUUUGAAGGAUAAAGUUGCUAA